This 304-nucleotide unclassified non-coding RNA is filed under the name Hevea brasiliensis (rubber tree). The record is from RNAcentral. Lineage: Eukaryota; Viridiplantae; Streptophyta; Magnoliopsida; Malpighiales; Euphorbiaceae.
AGCCACUGCUGCAAUUUGUCUUUUAGAAGCUGUUGCAGAAGCCAAUCAACAGUGCCGGUCGAAGUUCCAUUACCAACUAAGAGAGUCUCAAUGAUAGUACCCCAUGAAUCAUUAUCAGUUUUUAAUUUUCUCAGUAGUUGAGUUCCUGUUUCUAUGCUGUCUUCUUUUUGCAAAAAGGAAUCAGACAGAAGCAUCUGCACAAAUCUGACAAGUAACAACAACUCUUCUGGACUCUUAGCAACUUCCAUUUGGGAUAAGCUGCAAUGAGGACAGCUACUCUCAGUUCGAUACUCAAAUUCUCUGA